RNAcentral lists this small RNA (222 nucleotides) under Vigna angularis var. angularis. RNAcentral's name for it is "Non-protein coding transcript". The record is from RNAcentral. Lineage: Eukaryota; Viridiplantae; Streptophyta; Magnoliopsida; Fabales; Fabaceae.
CAUUAAUUUUAUUGAAAUCGAUGAUGAUGGUGAUCAAGAAGAAUAGGAGGUUGUACCAUUGGUUAUACCCCCAUUGUGCAGUUUUGUUGGUGAUCCAAGCACCACUGUUGAUGUACAGCAAUUGUACACAGCAGUCAGCGUCAGAGAGAUGACCGUAUACAGGGUUGUAUGCGAGAUAAUUGGGCAAACCUUGAGCAACACCUCAUUCUACACUUUGGGCCC